CAUCUGACCUUAGUGACCAGGACAGGAGGGGCAAGGUCAGAUGAGCACAGGUUAGCCUGUCAUGACUGCUAAAACAGGGGGCUGGCCACUUCAAUUGAGGCAAACCCCAGGACUCCUUGCUUGAGUUUCUGAACUCUUCGGACCACACCUCAGCUGUGCUUCAGAUCAUCUGCGUGUAAAGACUGUCGGAAAAGAACAAGGUGUCAGGGGCCCCUCUCCACGGCUUGGGCCAGGCAAACUGGGCUCACGUCUGGUCCAUACGCUUUUCACCGACGUGACAUGACUGCAACUACUAACUGGAUCCAUUUUCCUCUCAGGGAAGUGUCCACUUAGGUGCCCCAGCCAGCAAGCUGGUUUUCAGAAAGCCCCAUGGCAACCGUGUACCAAUACCUUAAACUAUCGCCAGCAUGCUGGCCUGCUUCUUCCGGACUCCAUCCUCAUCCACAGGCUACACGCCUGAGCAGAAUGCUCUGGAGCUGGGACAGGUGGUGUCGGCACCAUGGCAUUUGUGUCCCCAAACCCGUGUACGGACUUGUUCGUUCACACCGGCAAAAACAGACCAUGGAGGUAGAAACGUAUCAUCACGUGUGGGUGUGUAGGCCAUCCUACACAUCGCCCACACUUGACCGAAACAUCGUUUUAAGGCUCUGGACUUUACCUGGAUAAAUCUCAUGAGAAUUACUUAACUUCUAGUGGUUUUAUUCUGGCCCUAGUCAUUUCAUAAUGAACGUACCGUCACAACACGGGUGUUUUUGUGGCUUCGGCAGUGCUGAAGCAGAGAAGCAGGAGGUGGAGAAGGGGGGAGGGAGAAGAGAAAGAGGCGGGAAGUGGACCCUGCUGGCCUCUAUUCUGUGGGCUGUUGAACCUCCCCAGGGCAGGCUGGCUGAGCCUUUAUUCCGAAGCCUGCCGUUUCUCCCCAAAGCUCCCGUUCUGACUAAGGAGGCUAACUCAAGUGAAUCCACGGGAAAGAAAAAGGAAAGUGAUAUUCUAAUUUUACCCAGUUCAGAAUGCAACCAGACACGGGAAUGCGCCUGCGAUUCUGACUCAUGAGUGCACCAGAGCUUUGUUUUAGGGAGCAGCAAUGUGUUCAGUCCAAAUUGGCCGUGAAGUGAAUAAACAUUAUUUUCCCACCGAAUUCAGCUCUAAAACGACGGGAAAUCUUUCUAUGAGAACUGGAAAGCAAAAACAAAACAACAAAACCACACAGCAGACAAGAGUGCCACUGCCAGGAGACACGAGCC
Long non-coding RNA from Mesocricetus auratus (golden hamster), 1241 nucleotides. RefSeq lists it as uncharacterized. Lineage: Eukaryota; Metazoa; Chordata; Mammalia; Rodentia; Cricetidae. The record is from RefSeq and is a predicted model, not a curated record. The transcript has 4 exons.